This is a long non-coding RNA of Eriocheir sinensis (Chinese mitten crab), 910 nucleotides long. RefSeq lists it as uncharacterized. The record is from RefSeq and is a predicted model, not a curated record. The transcript has 3 exons. NCBI's taxonomy places the organism in Eukaryota, Metazoa, Arthropoda, Malacostraca, Decapoda, Varunidae.
CUAUUACUGUGUUGGUGGGUGUGUUAGUGUCCAUCUAUUACUGUGUGGGUGUGGGUGUUAGUGUCCUUCUAUUACUGUGUGGGUGUGGGUGUUAGUGUCCAUCUAUUACUGUGUGGGUGUGGGUGUUAGUGUCCAUCUAUUACUGUGUGGGUGUGGGUGUUAGUGUCCAUCUAUUACUGUGUGGGUGUGGGUGUUAGUGUCCAUCUAUUACUGUGUGGGUGUGUGUGUUAGUGUCCAUCUAUUACUGUGUGGGUGUGGGUGUUAGUGUCCAUCUAUUACUGUGUGGGUGUGGGUGUUAGUGUCCAUCUAUUACUGUGUGGGUGUGGGUGUUAGUGUCCAUCUAUUACUGUGUGGGUGUGGGUGUUAGUGUCCAUCUAUUACUGUGUGGGUGUGUGUGUUAGUGUCCAUCUAUUACUGUGUGGGUGUUUGUGUUAGUGUCCAUCUAUUACUGUGUGGGUGGGUGUGUUAGUGUCCAUCUAUUACUGUGUUGGUGGGUGUGUUAGUGGCCCAUCUAUUACUGUGUUGGUGUGGGUGUUAGUGUCCAUCUAUUACUGUGUGGGUGUGGGUGUUAGUGUCCAUCUAUUACUGUGUGGGUGGGUGUGUUAGUGUCCAUCUAUUACUGUGUGGGUGGGUGUGUUAGUGUCCAUCUAUUACUGUGUGGGUGUGGGUGUUAGUGUCCAUCUAUUACUGUGUGGGUGUGGGUGUUAGUGUCCAUCUAUUACUGUGUGGGUGUUAGUGUCCAUCUAUUACUGUGUGGGUGUGGGUGUUAGUGUCCAUCUAUUACUGUGUGGGUGUUAGUGUCCAUCUAUUACUGCUUGGGUGUUAGUGGCCCAUCUAUUACUGUUACUGAUAGGUGCUACACUGCCACUCGCGGUAGAUAGACAGGAGCUGCCAAAUAUAGGUCAGUGGG